GCGGCGUGCUACACAUGCAGUCGAGCGAUCUUCUUCGGAAGAGAGCGGCGGACGGGUGAGUAACGCGUGGGUAACCUGCCUCAUACACAUGGAUAACAUACCGAAAGGUAUGCUAAUACAGGAUAACAUAUUUUUAUCGCAUGAUAAAAAUAUCAAAGCUCCGGCGGUAUGAGAUGGACCCGCGUCUGAUUAGCUAGUUGGUAAGGUAAUGGCUUACCAAGGCGACGAUCAGUAGCCGACCUGAGAGGGUGAUCGGCCACAUUGGAACUGAGACACGGUCCAAACUCCUACGGGAGGCAGCAGUGGGGAAUAUUGCACAAUGGGCGAAAGCCUGAUGCAGCAACGCCGCGUGAGCGAUGAAGGCCUUCGGGUCGUAAAGCUCUGUCCUCAAGGAAGAUAAUGACGGUACUUGAGGAGGAAGCCCCGGCUAACUACGUGCCAGCAGCCGCGGUAAUACGUAGGGGGCUAGCGUUAUCCGGAUUUACUGGGCGUAAAGGGUGCGUAGGCGGUUUUUCAAGUCAGGAGUGAAAGGCUACGGCUCAACCGUAGUAAGCUCUUGAAACUGGGAGACUUGAGUGCAGGAGAGGAGAGUGGAAUUCCUAGUGUAGCGGUGAAAUGCGUAGAUAUUAGGAGGAACACCAGUAGCAAAGGCGGCUCUCUGGACUGUAACUGACGCUGAGGCACGAAAGCGUGGGGAGCGAACAGGAUUAGAUACCCUGGUAGUCCACGCCGUAAACGAUGAGUACUACGUGUCGGGGGUUACCCCCCUCGGUGCCGCAGCUAACGCAUUAAGUACUCCGCCUGGGGAGUACGCUCGCAAGAGUGAAACUCAAAGGAAUUGACGG
RNAcentral lists this ribosomal RNA (845 nucleotides) under uncultured bacterium. RNAcentral describes it as "bacterial SSU rRNA". It matches the Rfam family "Bacterial small subunit ribosomal RNA", at positions 39 to 916 of the family's 1533-position model. The record is from RNAcentral.